Molecule: long non-coding RNA, 244 nt
Filed under: Gossypium raimondii (Peruvian cotton)
Lineage: Eukaryota; Viridiplantae; Streptophyta; Magnoliopsida; Malvales; Malvaceae
Description: long non-coding RNA (GRAI_LNC007967)
Source: RNAcentral
ACUCAAAUCCCCUUUGGUCUAAGGCGCCCUUUGCGGGUUUUCACCUUAGCCUCUCCAUUUUUACUUUUUUCAUUUUUCAUUUUCAUCUUUUCAUUUUUCACAUCACUUUUUUUUUGGACUCAAACUUCCCUUUGCGUGUUUUUACCUUGGUCUUCUCCUUCUUUAAGCGGAGAAUUUCCUGCCUGAAUCUGAGUUUACAGGACUUUACAGGUUUAUCAUCCAUUUCACUUAAAAUCAAAGCUCC